This 497-nucleotide ribosomal RNA is filed under the name uncultured bacterium. Its description in RNAcentral is "partial 16S ribosomal RNA". It matches the Rfam family "Bacterial small subunit ribosomal RNA", at positions 28 to 507 of the family's 1533-position model. The record is from RNAcentral.
GAUGAACGCUGACGGCGUGCCUAAUACAUGCAAGUCGAGCGAACGGACGAGAAGCUUGCUUCUCUGAUGUUAGCGGCGGACGGGUGAUUAACACGUGGAUAACCUACCUAUAAGACUGGGAUAACUUCGGGAAACCGGAGCUAAUACCGGAUAAUAUGUUGAACCGCAUGGUUCAAAAGUGAAAGACGGUCUUGCUGUCACUUAUAGAUGGAUCCGCGCUGCAUUAGCUAGUUGGUAAGGUAACGGCUUACCAAGGCAACGAUGCAUAGCCGACCUGAGAGGGUGAUCAGCCACACUGGAACUGAGACACGGUCCAGACUCCUACGGGAGGCAGCAGUGGGGAAUCUUCGGCAAUGGGCGAAAGCCUGACGGAGCAACGCCGCGUGAGUGAUGAAGGUCUUCGGAUCGUAAAACUCUGUUAUUAGGGAAGAACAUAUGUGUAAGUAACUGUGCACAUCUUGACGGUACCUAAUCAGAAAGCCACGGCUAACUACGUG